Molecule: transfer RNA, 87 nt
Filed under: Lachnospiraceae bacterium
Lineage: Bacteria; Bacillati; Bacillota; Clostridia; Lachnospirales; Lachnospiraceae
Description: tRNA-Leu
Rfam family: tRNA
About the family: Transfer RNA (tRNA) molecules are approximately 80 nucleotides in length. Their secondary structure includes four short double-helical elements and three loops (D, anti-codon, and T loops).
Source: RNAcentral
GCCGGUGUGUCGGAAUUGGCAGACGAGGCAGACUCAAAAUCUGUUGGUGGCAACACCGUAUGGGUUCAAGUCCCAUCACCGGCACUA